RNAcentral lists this ribosomal RNA (401 nucleotides) under uncultured bacterium. RNAcentral's name for it is "bacterial SSU rRNA". It matches the Rfam family "Bacterial small subunit ribosomal RNA", at positions 335 to 737 of the family's 1533-position model. The record is from RNAcentral.
ACUCCUACGGGAGGCAGCAGUGGGGAAUAUUGCACAAUGGGGCGCAAGCCUGAUGCAGCAACGCCGUGUGAGUGAAGAAGGUUUUCGGAUCGUAAAACUCUGUCCUAAGGGAAGAAACAAAUGACGGUACCUUAGGAGGAAGCCCCGGCUAACUACGUGCCAGCAGCCGCGGUAAUACGUAGGGGGCAAGCGUUAUCCGGAAGUCACUGGGGCGUAAAGGGUGCGUAGGCGGCUUAGCAAGACCAGGGGGUGAAAGGCAUUGGGCUCAACCAAAUGUAAAGCCUUUUGGAACUAGUUAAGGCUUUGAGUGCAGGAGAGGUAAAGUGGAAUUCCUAGUGUAGAGGUGAAAUUCGGUAGAUAUUAGGAGGAACACCAGUGGCGAAGGCGACUUACUGGACUGU